Molecule: long non-coding RNA, 410 nt
Filed under: Brassica napus (rape)
Lineage: Eukaryota; Viridiplantae; Streptophyta; Magnoliopsida; Brassicales; Brassicaceae
Description: long non-coding RNA (BNAP_LNC024203)
Source: RNAcentral
GACGACACUUGUCCCAUGGUGAGUCUGAAAACUCGUGUGAUCUCGUCCACAUCACUCGGGCAAACUCGGAAUUUCUCAUCUUCUCAUACUCAACCUUGCACUUAUCAGCCUUAGCUACAUAGAGAGCCUUCUCCUACAAGAUUGUACAACUCAAAGGUCAAGAAAUACUCAAGCAUGUAACAGAACUUAUUAUGGACAACGAUGUAGCUGCGUCAUCUCCACCAUCUACUGCUGAUAUAUCUCCGACAUCCCCUUCUCCUGUUACGCUGCCACCGUGUAACACUCAACAAGUUGUUGAAACUCUAGGUCGUGGACAAAGACCUCGAGUACCUUCAGUCAAGCUCAAGGACUAUGUUACAUACAAUGCUAUACAUCUUGAAGACCCCUCGUCAUCUCUCUCACACGCCUGU